UGUGUUGAAUUUUUUUGAGUAUCUCUCAGAAAAUCUAUUUUGAAAUUCACUAAUGAGUCCUAAUUGGCUUGCUCUUUAGAACUUUAAUUUAGUGCCAAUUCAUAUUUUUAUGUAUCAAAUUGUGCUUAUUUUUUAAAGGAAUAAAGUCUUUAAAAGAGCUUUAAAAAAAUCUUCAAAGCCUUGAAUUUUAUGUAUGCUCUAAGAUAUAUCAUAAAUUGCAUGAAUUCAUGUUUUGGUGUUUAUGCCACAAUAUUUUUACAUCAUAAAAGAACUUUGCAAUCAUGCUUAAUAUAUUGCUCUUAUACUCUGAAAAUUAGUUAAAUUGCUCUCAUGUUGUUAAAAUACUUAAUAUAUUGGGCAAAAGAUCUUAAAUGAACAAGCUUUCAUACUUAUUAUUGAAGAGAGAUUAGAUUUUCAUUCGUGCUUUCCUUGAAUAUCAUUUGUGGUACUUCUUGAAUUAACUUAAGAAAGAUUCCACCUACACUUGAUUUGAAAACUAUCUUUGGAAUCACAUUCGAUGUGUUCUCCUCUGAAAUUAUCUUAAUUGGCUCUGGUCUAUGCUCAUUAAUCUUUUUCUAACAUUAUUGCCUUN
Molecule: long non-coding RNA, 592 nt
Filed under: Phoenix dactylifera (date palm)
Lineage: Eukaryota; Viridiplantae; Streptophyta; Magnoliopsida; Arecales; Arecaceae
Description: long non-coding RNA (PDAC_LNC012000)
Source: RNAcentral